GCGGUACCGGUUCCCGCCCCGCGGGGGCGACCCGGCGACC
RNAcentral lists this non-coding RNA (40 nucleotides) under unclassified sequences. RNAcentral describes it as "L31-Actinobacteria ribosomal protein leader". It matches the Rfam family "L31-Actinobacteria ribosomal protein leader". The record is from RNAcentral.